GGUGAGAUGGGUGAGUGGCUGAAACCAGCAGUUUGCUAAACUGCCGAACGGGUAACCGUUCCGCGAGUUCGAAUCUCGCUCUCACCG
This 87-nucleotide transfer RNA is filed under the name Bacteroidales bacterium. Its description in RNAcentral is "tRNA-Ser". It matches the Rfam family "tRNA". Rfam says of the family: Transfer RNA (tRNA) molecules are approximately 80 nucleotides in length. Their secondary structure includes four short double-helical elements and three loops (D, anti-codon, and T loops). Lineage: Bacteria; Pseudomonadati; Bacteroidota; Bacteroidia; Bacteroidales. The record is from RNAcentral.